GAUGAACGCUGGCGGCGUGCCUAAUACAUGCAAGUCGAGCGAACAGACGAGGAGCUUGCUCCUCUGACGUUAGCGGCGGACGGGUGAGUAACACGUGGAUAACCUACCUAUAAGACUGGGAUAACUUCGGGAAACCGGAGCUAAUACCGGAUAAUAUAUUGAACCGCAUGGUUCAAUAGUGAAAGACGGUUUUGCUGUCACUUAUAGAUGGAUCCGCGCCGCAUUAGCUAGUUGGUAAGGUAACGGCUUACCAAGGCAACGAUGCGUAGCCGACCUGAGAGGGGGAUCGGCCACACUGGAACUGGGACACGGUCCAGACUCCUACGGGAGGCAGCAGUAGGGAAUCUUCCGCAAUGGGGGAAGGCCUGACGGAGCAACGCCGCGUGAGUGAUGAAGGUCUUCGGAUCGUAAAACUCUGUUAUUAGGGAAGAACAAAUGUGUAAGUAACUAUGCACGUCUUGACGGUACCUAAUCAGAAAGCCACGGCUAACUACGU
Molecule: ribosomal RNA, 496 nt
Filed under: uncultured bacterium
Lineage: Bacteria
Description: partial 16S ribosomal RNA
Rfam family: Bacterial small subunit ribosomal RNA
Source: RNAcentral